Molecule: ribosomal RNA, 253 nt
Filed under: uncultured bacterium
Lineage: Bacteria
Description: partial 16S ribosomal RNA
Rfam family: Bacterial small subunit ribosomal RNA
Source: RNAcentral
UACGUAGGGCGCAAGCGUUAUCCGGAAUUAUUGGGCGUAAAGAGCUCGUAGGCGGCCUGUUACGUCUGCUGUGAAAUCCCGGGGCUUAACCCCGGGCGUGCAGUGGAUACGGGCAGGCUGGAGGCAGGCAGGGGAGAACGGAAUUCCCGGUGUAGCGGUGAAAUGCGCAGAGAUCGGAAAGAACACCAACGGCGAAAGCACUCUGCUGGGCCGACACUGACACUGAGAGACGAAAGCUAGGGGAGCGAAUGGG